GUAGAGCGGAUGUAGGUAAUUUCAGGUUAGCCACAACGUCACUUACACUUCUACUCAAUGUUUCAUUUUAAGAUACCAUAUGUGAUGUUUUUCUGUAUAAUAUAAUGUGACAGACCUGCCAACCCAACGCACAGCCCUGGACAAGCAGGAAUGCAGGAGAAACUAUACGGUUUCCAUGCAGUCCUUUACACAAAUCAUUUGCAUAAAGUACAAAAUGUUGUGCACAUAUAUACUGGGUUUUAUGGUAACCACAGGCGCUUUUUGAGUCAGGGUAUUUGGGGGAAGGAGAACUACUACUUCCUGGUCAUUACUGCUUCCUGGUAAAGCCUGAAUCUACGCAUACUCCAGUUUCUGCCUCAACGGGUUUGACUGUGCUGUUUGAUCACUGCUGCGGAGAGCAUGAUAGCAAGCAGUGUUUUUAAUCACUUUCUAAUUAUCAUUACCACUAAAAUGAUUUGUCAGAGGGCAGGAGCCCCAGCGACUGCAGGUGAGAUGGGGUUGCGGCUGACAGACUCAUGAUCUCUCCAACUGCUUCGUGAAAGCCCUCGUUGGCUCCGUCUCUGAGAAGGAAGGACAAUAAAAAGAAGCAUUUAAAUUCUUUCCAUUUGGUUACAAAAAAAUUAUGUCACACAGAGGUCACAGAAAUGAGCAAGUUCAGGGAAAAAAACAGAGACAGUUUCCUCUUUUACAUGACUGCGCUCACCAGUUUGUCCGAGUUCUCUGCCGUGAUGUUCGUGUUGUACUCCCAAGAAGCGAGACUGUAUUGGUACAUGAGACGGGAUGCAUCCUCAUCGAAUUUCUGCAGGAACUCUCUGGCCCUGUCCUCAACUGUCUGAGCCCAGGCCGCAGAAGUCGCGGCCAAAACCAAGAUGCACAGAACAGACAUCUUCCAAGAGCACUGACAGCGUCUCAGCAAAGUCACCGUCUUAUCAAGAGUGUUCUCUGGCUACACCCUUUGACCUGAGCUAUAAAACAAAAUAAACUCAUAUCAUUUAGUGCUUAUUCAUUGCACAAAGUACAGGCAUUUGAAAUGCAAUGGCAGAGUCUUAAUCGAGUCUUAUGGGGAGCUGUAUGACUAAAUAUCAAGGGAACAUGUACUAUGUUAAGUGUCUGCUCUCUGAUGGUGAUGAGUUUAGCGUAGAAUCAAAUAUUCUAUUCAAACCAUUCUAUUAAAAGCAUGAAAAACAUUUGACAUUUCUCCAUAAAAGGAAAAAAUACAUUAUGUUUGUUAAGUUUGUUCUAUGAAUUUUGUAAAUCACAAUUGCUUGAGUUGUUAUUAGAUAUUUAAUUUGAAUUUGCAGUGUUUUUUUUUUAAAUAAUAGUUCUUAUAUUACUGUUUAUUAACUGUUUUUAAACUGUACCCUCAUAACUGUUUACUAAGAUGAUUAGAUUUUCUAUCACUUACAUCCAAAAUCAACCUGACAUUCAUCAAAACAAUCUGACUUGUUUGCUCAAGAAUUCACAUUAAAAGAUUGUCAGUGCUGCUCUCA
Pangasianodon hypophthalmus (striped catfish) is the source of this 1490-nucleotide long non-coding RNA. RefSeq lists it as uncharacterized. The record is from RefSeq and is a predicted model, not a curated record. Lineage: Eukaryota; Metazoa; Chordata; Actinopteri; Siluriformes; Pangasiidae. The transcript is spliced from 3 exons.